RNAcentral lists this ribosomal RNA (156 nucleotides) under Orbilia oligospora. Its description in RNAcentral is "5.8S ribosomal RNA". The stretch from base 1 to 130 matches the Rfam family "5.8S ribosomal RNA", at positions 25 to 154 of the family's 154-position model. From Rfam's summary of the family: 5.8S ribosomal RNA (5.8S rRNA) is a component of the large subunit of the eukaryotic ribosome. It is transcribed by RNA polymerase I as part of the 45S precursor that also contains 18S and 28S rRNA. Lineage: Eukaryota; Fungi; Ascomycota; Orbiliomycetes; Orbiliales; Orbiliaceae. The record is from RNAcentral.
UUCCCGCAUCGAUGAAGAACGCAGCGAAACGCGAUAGUUAAUGUGAAUUGCAGAAUUCAGUGAAUCAUCGAGUCUUUGAACGCACAUUGCGCCCAUUGGUAUUCCUUUGGGCAUGUCUGUUUGAGCGUCAUUACAACCCUCAGCUACCCGCUGGUU